GUUUCAUUAUUUCUAUUGUUUGUACUUGUAUAGUAAUAUGUGGUUGUGACAUUGCUUUUUUUUUUUUUUCCUGUUUCUUUUGUAUUACUCUAUUUUACAGCAAGCUAAUUUUAAAGGUGUCAAGUGUAUUUUGAUGUAUUUUGAUUUUGGGGAAGAAUUCAGAUGACAAAAGCAUCAAGAAGUCGAUCGUCGGUCUGGAAAGUUAGUGAUAAACAUCCAGGUUGGAUAUGCUUCAGCUGAGACUUUUUAGUUCAAUAGAGAAUCAUACAACAUUUUAGUUGGAGGUAUAUCUUUUCUGUUAAAUUUUUCAUGUAGGAUUUUGAUAUUUUUUUUCGAUGCAGAUGGUCGUAUCAGGUACGAUUUUCUCAAAUAAUUCUCGGAUUUUUGUUUUUCGCUCAUUAACUUGUUUAAUUUGUUACUGAAUUCUACCUUCCAAUUCUACCAAUAAUAUUCAACCAUGUAUUUAUUUGGAUUAAAUUUGCUGAGAUAAAAUUUCUAUGGCUGGGCUGGGAUGCAGGGGGAGGAAUUCAUUAGGUUGUUAUUAGCAAAUACCACUAUUUGUUGGGCUAGGAUGCAUAUUGAUGCUUAAAAACUCUUUCUUCACUCAACAAAUUUUAUCAAUGCUUUUAACUCAUUCCUCCAUUUGUUCAUGGAAUUAUGUAAUGAUGAUUUGAUGUAAAUCCUUACUAAUUAAGAAUCUUGGCUACAAUCUUCUUGGCUUGACAUUCAGCUAAGUUAAAGUUAAUUGUGAAAUCUUCAUUUCUUUCA
Cucumis sativus (cucumber) is the source of this 768-nucleotide long non-coding RNA. RefSeq lists it as uncharacterized. NCBI's taxonomy places the organism in Eukaryota, Viridiplantae, Streptophyta, Magnoliopsida, Cucurbitales, Cucurbitaceae. The record is from RefSeq and is a predicted model, not a curated record. The transcript is spliced from 2 exons.